GACGAACGCUGGCGGCGUGCCUAAUACAUGCAAGUAGAACGCUGAAGGAGGAGCUUGCUCUUCUGGAUGAGUUGCGAACGGGUGAGUAACGCGUAGGUAACCUGCCUGGUAGCGGGGGAUAACUAUUGGAAACGAUAGCUAAUACCGCAUAACAGUAGAUGUCGCAUGACAUUUACUUAAAAGGUGCAAUUGCAUCACUACCAGAUGGACCUGCGUUGUAUUAGCUAGUUGGUGGGGUAACGGCUCACCAAGGCGACGAUACAUAGCCGACCUGAGAGGGUGAUCGGCCACACUGGGACUGAGACACGGCCCAGACUCCUACGGGAGGCAGCAGUAGGGAAUCUUCGGCAAUGGACGGAAGUCUGACCGAGCAACGCCGCGUGAGUGAAGAAGGUUUUCGGAUCGUAAAGCUCUGUUGUAAGAGAAGAACGAGUGUGAGAGUGGAAAGUUCACACUGUGACGGUAUCUUACCAGAAAGGGACGGCUAACUACGUG
This 495-nucleotide ribosomal RNA is filed under the name uncultured bacterium. RNAcentral's name for it is "partial 16S ribosomal RNA". It matches the Rfam family "Bacterial small subunit ribosomal RNA", at positions 28 to 507 of the family's 1533-position model. The record is from RNAcentral.